GUCGAACGAUGAACCUCACUUGUGGGGGGAUUAGUGGCGAACGGGUGAGUAACACGUGAGUAACCUGCCCUUGACUCUGGGAUAAGCCUGGGAAACCGGGUCUAAUACUGGAUACGACCUUCUGGCGCAUGCCAUGUUGGUGGAAAGCUUUUGUGGUUUUGGAUGGACUCGCGGCCUAUCAGCUUGUUGGUGGGGUAAUGGCCUACCAAGGCGACGACGGGUAGCCGGCCUGAGAGGGUGACCGGCCACACUGGGACUGAGACACGGCCCAGACUCCUACGGGAGGCAGCAGUGGGGAAUAUUGCACAAUGGGCGCAAGCCUGAUGCAGCGACGCCGCGUGAGGGAUGAAGGCCUUCGGGUUGUAAACCUCUUUCAGUAGGGAAGAAGCCGGCCUUUCGGGGUUGGUGACGGUACCUGCAGAAGAAGCGCCGGCUAACUACGUGCCAGCAGCCGCGGUAAUACGUAGGGCGCAAGCGUUAUCCGGAAUUAUUGGGCGUAAAGAGCUCGUAGGCGGUUUGUCGCGUCUGCCGUGAAAGUCCGGGGCUUAACCCCGGAUCUGCGGUGGGUACGGGCAGACUAGAGUGCAGUAGGGGAGACUGGAAUUCCUGGUGUAGCGGUGAAAUGCGCAGAUAUCAGGAGGAAC
RNAcentral lists this ribosomal RNA (644 nucleotides) under Arthrobacter agilis. RNAcentral's name for it is "bacterial SSU rRNA". It matches the Rfam family "Bacterial small subunit ribosomal RNA", at positions 61 to 707 of the family's 1533-position model. The record is from RNAcentral. Lineage: Bacteria; Bacillati; Actinomycetota; Actinomycetes; Micrococcales; Micrococcaceae.